Molecule: ribosomal RNA, 467 nt
Filed under: uncultured bacterium
Lineage: Bacteria
Description: partial 16S ribosomal RNA
Rfam family: Bacterial small subunit ribosomal RNA
Source: RNAcentral
GACGAACGCUGGCGGCAUGCUUAACACAUGCAAGUCGAACGGAAAGGCCCUGCUUUUGUGGGGUGCUCGAGUGGCGAACGGGUGAGUAACACGUGAGUAACCUGCCCUUGACUUUGGGAUAACUUCAGGAAACUGGGGCUAAUACCGGAUAGGAGCUCCUGCUGCAUGGUGGGGGUUGGAAAGUUUCGGCGGUUGGGGAUGGACUCGCGGCUUAUCAGCUUGUUGGUGGGGUAGUGGCUUACCAAGGCUUUGACGGGUAGCCGGCCUGAGAGGGUGACCGGCCACAUUGGGACUGGGAUACGGCCCAGACUCAUACGGGAGGCAGGAGUGGGGAAUAUUGCACAAUGGGCGGAAGCGUGAUGCAGCAACGCCGCGUGCGGGAUGACGGCCUUCGGGUUGUAAACCGCUUUCGCCUGUGACGAAGCGUGAGUGACGGUAAUGGGUAAAGAAGCACCGGCUAACUACGU